Molecule: ribosomal RNA, 468 nt
Filed under: uncultured bacterium
Lineage: Bacteria
Description: partial 16S ribosomal RNA
Rfam family: Bacterial small subunit ribosomal RNA
Source: RNAcentral
GACGAACGCUGGCGGCGUGCUUAAUACAUGCAAGUCGAACGGAAAGGCGCUGCUUUUGUGGGGUGCUCGAGUGGCGAACGGGUGAGUAACACGUGAGUAACAUGCCCUUGUAUUUGGGAUAAAUUCAGGAAACUGGGGCUAAUACCGGAUAUAAGCUCCUGCUGCAUGGUGGGGGAUGGAAAGAUUCGGCGGUUGUGGAUGGACUCGCGGCUUAUGAGCUUGUUUGUGGGGUAGUGGCUUACGAAGGUUGUGAAGGAUAGCCCGCCUGAGAGGGUGACCGGCGACAUGGGGACUGAGAGACGGCGCAGACGCCUAUGGUAGGCAGUAGUCGGGAACAUUGCACAGUGGGCCGAAGCCUGAUGCAGCGACGCCCCGUGCGGGAUGACGGCUUUCGGGUUGUAAACCGCUUUCGCCGUAGACGAGGAGUGCUUGACGGUAAUUGGUAAAGAAGCACCGGCUAACUACGUG